Molecule: ribosomal RNA, 908 nt
Filed under: uncultured bacterium
Lineage: Bacteria
Also listed under: 1 other name
Description: bacterial SSU rRNA
Rfam family: Bacterial small subunit ribosomal RNA
Source: RNAcentral
UCGGGCUCAGGAUGAACGCUAGCUACAGGCUUAACACCUGCAAGUCGAGGGGAAACGACAUCGAAAGCUUGCUUUUGAUGGGCGUCGACCGGCGCACGGGUGAGCAACGCGUAUCCAACCUGCCCACCACUUGGGGAUAACCUUGCGAAAGUAAGACUAAUACCCAAUGACGUCUCUAGAAGACAUCUGAAAGAGAUUAAAGAUUUAUCGGUGAUGGAUGGGGAUGCGUCUGAUUAGCUUGUUGGCGGGGUAACGGCCCACCAAGGCUACGAUCAGUAGGGGUUCUGAGAGGAAGGUCCCCCACAUUGGAACUGAGACACGGUCCAAACUCCUACGGGAGGCAGCAGUGAGGAAUAUUGGUCAAUGGACGAGAGUCUGAACCAGCCAAGUAGCGUGCAGGAUGACGGCCCUAUGGGUUGUAAACUGCUUUUAUAAGGGAAUAAAGUGAGUCUCGUGAGGCUUUUUGCAUGUACCUUAUGAAUAAGGACCGGCUAAUUCCGUGCCAGCAGCCGCGGUAAUACGGAAGGUCCGGGCGUUAUCCGGAUUUAUUGGGUUUAAAGGGAGCGUAGGCCGGAGAUUAAGCGUGUUGUGAAAUGUAGACGCUCAACGUCUGCACUGCAGCGCGAACUGGUUUCCUUGAGUACGCACAAAGUGGGCGGAAUUCGUGGUGUAGCGGUGAAAUGCUUAGAUAUCACGAAGAACUCCGAUUGCGAAGGCAGCUCACUGGAGCGCAACUGACGCUGAAGCUCGAAAGUGCGGGUAUCGAACAGGAUUAGAUACCCUGGUAGUCCGCACGGUAAACGAUGGAUGCCCGCUGUUGGUCUGAAUAGGUCAGCGGCCAAGCGAAAGCAUUAAGCAUCCCACCUGGGGAGUACGCCGGCAACGGUGCAACUCAAAGGAAUUGACGG